UACGGAGGAUGCGAGCGUUAUCCGGAUUUAUUGGGUUUAAAGGGUGCGUAGGCGGAUGGAUAAGUCAGUGGUGAAAUUCUGCAGCUUAACUGUAAAAGUGCCUUCGAAACUGGUUUCCUUGAGUGUAGAUGAAGUAGGCGGAAUUUGUGGUGUAGCGGUGAAAUGCUUAGAUAUCACGAGGAACUCCGAUUGCGCAGGCAGCUUACUAAACUACUACUGACGCUCAGGCACGAAGGCGUGGGGAUCAAACAGGAUUAGAUACCCCU
Molecule: ribosomal RNA, 266 nt
Filed under: uncultured prokaryote
Description: partial 16S ribosomal RNA
Rfam family: Bacterial small subunit ribosomal RNA
Source: RNAcentral